RNAcentral lists this ribosomal RNA (497 nucleotides) under uncultured bacterium. RNAcentral describes it as "partial 16S ribosomal RNA". It matches the Rfam family "Bacterial small subunit ribosomal RNA", at positions 28 to 506 of the family's 1533-position model. The record is from RNAcentral.
GAUGAACGCUGGCGGCGUGCCUAAUACAUGCAAGUCGAGCGAACAGACGAGGAGCUUGCUCCUCUGACGUUAGCGGCGGACGGGUGAGUAACACGUGGAUAACCUACCUAUAAGACUGGGAUAACUUCGGGAAACCGGAGCUAAUACCGGAUAAUAUAUUGAACCGCAUGGUUCAAUAGUGAAAGACGGUUUUGCUGUCACUUAUAGAUGGAUCCGCGCCGCAUUAGCUAGUUGGUAAGGUAACGGCUUACCAAGGCAACGAUGCGUAGCCGACCUGAGAGGGGUGUUCGCCACCCCUGGACCGAGGAACCGUCCCGACCUCCUACGGGAGGCAGCGUUGGGAAUUCUUCCGCAUUGGGCGAAACCCUGCCGGGGCACCGCCGCGUGAGUGAGGAAGGUUUUCGAUUCGUAAACCUCUUUUUUUAGGAAAGACCAAAUGUGUAGGUACCUAUGACCGUUUUGACGGUACCUAACCAGAAAGCCCCGCUUACCUCCGU